Long non-coding RNA from Coregonus clupeaformis (lake whitefish), 1254 nucleotides. RefSeq lists it as uncharacterized. The transcript is spliced from 2 exons. The record is from RefSeq and is a predicted model, not a curated record. Lineage: Eukaryota; Metazoa; Chordata; Actinopteri; Salmoniformes; Salmonidae.
ACAUGAACUGAACUCAUUUUAAUAUGGUGAAACUAUUCCUUUAAAAAUAUGUUUUCAAAAGAAACAUUUAACAUCUAAUACUCAAAUCCUACAGUAAAAGCAGGUGAGUUUGUUCUACUCUUUUUGUUAAUUUACUGCUGUUUUGUGGUGGAAAACUGAGCAAGUCAACCCUUUUACCCAUACAUAGACAUGCUAGAAAGAUUUUACAAUUAAAUUUUUUUGUUUAGGUUGCAUUCAAUUGCCACUCCCUGUUUCACAAAACAACCUUCCAUUACUCCUGUCACAAGGGGUUUUAUGGCUGAUUUAAAGGACUAUUUUGGUUAUUAUAGGCUAGCGUACUGGGAAUGGUUAGGCUAACUAUAUUGCGGUUAUUAUACACAGUUGCUGAGAGAUGUGUGUAAACCACAGGCCUAGGUAUCCAUUCCUGCUGUUCUCAAGCCUAUUGUUGCAUCUCCCUCCCUGCAGUCUUAGAAACAUGAAGGUUUUAACAAUUACAUUUUUUUUGUUUAGAUUGCAUUCAAUUGCCACUCCCUGUUUCACAAAACAACCUUCCAUUACUCCUGUCACAAGGGGUUUUAUGGCUGAUUUAAAGGACUAUUUUACCAAUGUAAUCUGGUGGUUUUGUUGUUUACAGUCAACACUGUUACUUUAUUUGGCACAUAGGCACUUAGUGUAGUAAUAUUUUUAUUAAAUGUCUUGAGAUGGGAAAACAUGUUUUUUAUGAAGAUGACCAGAAUGUAAAAAUUACGUGAAAUAUUUUUUGGACCAAGUUAAACUAUUUAAAAAUGGGUGGAAUGACCCAUAUAUUUUCAUCAAUAUAUAAUGAAUCAAUAAAUGACCAAAGUGCAUAAAGAUGGCAGAAUUCUGGUAUCACGUCAUUGUUUUAGCACGAUCCACUGAAUUUCUGAAAGGAAGGUGCGCGACAUUGUUCAAUGUUCCAAUAAAUCAACUUUUUCGUUUUUUCUAAUUGCCAGUGUCUUGAAGCUAAAAUUGGGAUCAGGUUUACUUGCUAAUGACCAUACCAAAAAACAGUAAAGGAGAGCAAUGUACAAUACAGUGAACUUAGCAAAACGAGGAAUUUGUGUUCCACUCUGCCCCGGUGUUUUCCUGCAGUCGACCAGACCCUGCAGUAAAGCGGUACCGGGAGGCUUUUGACCUGGGGACUCUGGGAGGGUGGAGGGGAAUGGGCUACCUUUGUCCUGUUGGCCACAAUAAAUAUUAAACAGUUUAUCAUUAAACCAAACAUUUGAUUAA